GUAAUGCUAAGACUCAUCCUAAUGAUUUCCUUGGUGUUGUUGCGAACUAUGACCUCCAUUGGGGUCAUGUCAUAAGCCGUCACAGAACCUUCAUGCCCAGAGUCAUCGGGCAUAUCAGAUUCUUGUGGGACACUAUUUCUAACAAGCCUGAAGCUAAAUGUCAAUGGAUCUGGUAGCAAUACAUCCACAACAGAUGUCUGAAGCGCUGCCUGUAUGGCAUCCUUCAUAUUCAGUUCUCCAGAGCUGUUUCUUCCUGAUUGCCACCUCACCUUUAUCCUGGAAAUGAGGUUCUUAAUUGAAGCAUUUAAUUCAGCCUUGGCAUUCUUUUCUGAGAAGCUCGAAUUUCUGCCAACACCAUCAGGCUGAAAAUCCUUCAUGAAAAAGGAACCAUCAAGAAUGGGCAACUUAAAAUGCUCCAGAGGUAUUAAUACCCUCGCAGAAUGAUCCCUAUCAAUUCUUGUUUUUGGACAACAAUAUUCAGUAGCAUCUUGAACAGCAGAAAGGUUAUCCAACUUAUCUUCGCAGCUGUCAAGCUGGACAGAAACGCUAAUUUCAAACACAACAUCAGUUGGAUUAGACAAUUCUAAUUC
This 590-nucleotide unclassified non-coding RNA is filed under the name Hevea brasiliensis (rubber tree). Lineage: Eukaryota; Viridiplantae; Streptophyta; Magnoliopsida; Malpighiales; Euphorbiaceae. The record is from RNAcentral.